Molecule: ribosomal RNA, 443 nt
Filed under: uncultured bacterium
Lineage: Bacteria
Description: partial 16S ribosomal RNA
Rfam family: Bacterial small subunit ribosomal RNA
Source: RNAcentral
CCUACGGGUGGCAGCAGUGGGGAAUAUUGGGCAAUGGGCGCAAGCCUGACCCAGCAACGCCGCGUGAAGGAAGAAGGCUUUCGGGUUGUAAACUUCUUUUGUCAGGGACGAAGCCAGUGACGGUACCGGACGAAUAAGCCACGCCUAACUAUGUGACCGCAGCCCCGGUAAUACGUAGGGGGCAAGCGUUAUCCGGAUUUACUGUGUGUAAAGGGCGUGUAGGCGGGACUGCAAGUCAGAUGUGAAAACCAAGGCCGCAACCUGUGGACUGCAUUUGAAACUGUAGUUCUUGAGUACAGGAGAGGCAGACGGAAUUCGUAGUGUAGCGGUGAAAUGCGUAGAUAUUAGGAGGAGCACCAGUGGCGAAGGCGGUCUGCUGGACAGCAACUGACGCUGAGGCGCGAAAGCGUGGGGAGCAAACAGGAUUAGAUACCCUAGUAGUC